This 497-nucleotide ribosomal RNA is filed under the name uncultured bacterium. Its description in RNAcentral is "partial 16S ribosomal RNA". It matches the Rfam family "Bacterial small subunit ribosomal RNA", at positions 28 to 507 of the family's 1533-position model. The record is from RNAcentral.
GAUGAACGCUGGCGGCGUGCCUAAUACAUGCAAGUCGAGCGAACGGACGAGAAGCUUGCUGCGCUGAUGUUAGCGGCGGACGGGUGAGUAACACGUGGAUAACCUACCUAUAAGACUGGGAUAACUUCGGGAAACCGUAGCUAAUACCGGAUAAUAUUUUGAACCGCAGGGUUCAAAAGUGAAAGACGGUCUUGAUGUCACUGAUAGAUGGAUCCGCGCUGCAUUAGCUAGUUGGUAAGGUAACGGCUUACCAAGGCAACGAUGCGUAGCCGACCGGAGAGGGGGGUCGGCCACACUGGAACUGAGACACGGUCCAGACUCCUACGGGAGGCAGCAGUCGGGAAUCGUCCGCAAUGGGCGAAAGCCUGACGGAGCGACGCCGCGUGAGUGAUGAAGGUCUUCCGAUCGUAAAACUCUCUUAUUAGGUAAGAACAUCUGUGUACGUAACUGUGCACAUCUUGACGGUACCUAAUCAGAAAGCCACGGCUAACUACGUG